ACUAGAGGGUUGGGAUGGGAAGGAGUUUGCUAGAAGUGACAGCACCGAUGACGGAGUUCAUCGAAGCAACAUCACUGCCAAGUACAGGAGUGUUGAUGGAGAUGGGGAAUUGGUAAGUUGGGAGGCAAUAGAGGGAGAGAGAUUUUUUUUUUUUUUUUUUUAUUUGUUUAUUUUAAAUCAAUUGAAGGACUAAAUAGAACUCAUCCAUAAGUUCAGGGAUGAUUUCGGUCAAAAAAUCAUUACUUAAUAGUCAAAAUUGAUGGUUUUACCCUUCAAAUUGAUGACAACAUUGAUAGAAUUUGACGGUAGAAAUAAUUUGACAUGAAAGAGAGAGUUGGAGGACCAUUUCGGU
RNAcentral lists this long non-coding RNA (352 nucleotides) under Prunus persica (peach). Its description in RNAcentral is "long non-coding RNA (PPER_LNC008301)". The record is from RNAcentral. Lineage: Eukaryota; Viridiplantae; Streptophyta; Magnoliopsida; Rosales; Rosaceae.